This 66-nucleotide transfer RNA is filed under the name Planctomycetaceae bacterium. RNAcentral describes it as "tRNA-Cys". It matches the Rfam family "tRNA". From Rfam's summary of the family: Transfer RNA (tRNA) molecules are approximately 80 nucleotides in length. Their secondary structure includes four short double-helical elements and three loops (D, anti-codon, and T loops). Lineage: Bacteria; Pseudomonadati; Planctomycetota; Planctomycetia; Planctomycetales; Planctomycetaceae. The record is from RNAcentral.
GGGGUUUAGGGGGUUUGGCAGCGGAUUGCAAAUCCGCCAUCCCGGGUUCGAAUCCCGGCGGCGCCU